RNAcentral lists this ribosomal RNA (467 nucleotides) under uncultured bacterium. Its description in RNAcentral is "partial 16S ribosomal RNA". It matches the Rfam family "Bacterial small subunit ribosomal RNA", at positions 28 to 506 of the family's 1533-position model. The record is from RNAcentral.
GACGAGCGCUGGCGGCGUGCUUAACACAUGCAAGUCGAACGGAAAGGCCCUGCUUUUGUGGGGUGCUCGAGUGGCGAACGGGUGAGUAACACGUGAGUAACCUGCCCUUGACUUUGGGAUAACUUCAGGAAACUGGGGCUAAUACCGGAUAGGAGCUCCUGCUGCAUGGUGGGGGUUGGAAAGUUUCGGCGGUUGGGGAUGGACUCGCGGCUUAUCAGCUUGUUGGUGGGGUAGUGGCUUACCAAGGCUUUGACGGGUAGCCGGCCUGAGAGGGUGACCGGCCACAUUGGGACUGAGAUACGGCCCAGACUCCUACGGGAGGCAGCAGUGGGGAAUAUUGCACAAUGGGCGGAAGCCUGAGGCAGCAACGCCGCGUGCGGGAUGACGGCCUUCGGGUUGUAAACCGCUUUCGCCUGUGACGAAGCGUGAGUGACGGUAAUGGGUAAAGAAGCACCGGCUAACUACGU